CGCCCACUCUUGUUUACCGACUCGCCCCACUUUUAAAAAAGUGUAAAAUCAAACUGAACAAUUCCGAAUUGAUUUUCCUCUGAGUUCAGUAUUUUUGUGAUUUUACUUUUCACUGACAACUCACUUAUUAACGAAAGGGGUUUAAACCCCACUGAAUAAAGGUCUGCCAACUCGCCCCACUUAUAAAAAACAUCUUGCUUCCUUUAAGUAUGUUAAAUUACUGAUAGUCCAUAUCCAGUCGUCCUGGUGUAGUGGUUGUGGCUUGAUAUGGCUAAAGGUCUUGAGUUCGAAUCCCAGCAUAUACACUGGAUGUUUUCUACGUUAAUUUUGAUAGAUAGUCUUUUCCGUAUAAUUGUAUAUUUAAUUAUAAGUUUUAUAGUGGAUUUGACAUUCCCGCCAAAAUGUUACAGAACAAAGGAAAGCAUGCAUAACAAAGAAACUCAAACUAGGGUGAUCUGGUACGGGUGAUCCGGCUCAGAUCACCCCUGUUAGAAC
RNAcentral lists this long non-coding RNA (495 nucleotides) under Mytilus galloprovincialis (Mediterranean mussel). Lineage: Eukaryota; Metazoa; Mollusca; Bivalvia; Mytilida; Mytilidae. The record is from RNAcentral.